UACGUAGGUCCCGAGCGUUGUCCGGAUUUAUUGGGCGUAAAGCGUGCGCAGGCGGCCCGUUAAGACAGGUGUGAAAUCCCUGGGCUCAACCUAGGAAUUGCGCUUGUGACUGGCGAGCUAGAGUAUGGCAGAGGGUGGUGGAAUUCCUGGUGUAGCAGUGAAAUGCGUAGAGAUCAGGAGGAACACCGAUGGCGAAGGCAGCCCCCUGGGCCUGUACUGACGCUCAUGCACGAAAGCGUGGGGAGCAAACAGG
This 253-nucleotide ribosomal RNA is filed under the name uncultured microorganism. RNAcentral's name for it is "partial 16S ribosomal RNA". It matches the Rfam family "Bacterial small subunit ribosomal RNA", at positions 524 to 776 of the family's 1533-position model. The record is from RNAcentral.